RNAcentral lists this long non-coding RNA (239 nucleotides) under Brassica napus (rape). RNAcentral's name for it is "long non-coding RNA (BNAP_LNC006885)". Lineage: Eukaryota; Viridiplantae; Streptophyta; Magnoliopsida; Brassicales; Brassicaceae. The record is from RNAcentral.
UUUUGAAAAGUCUUGGCCCCCAACCAAAAAAAAAAAAAAAAAAAAUAUAAAAAAGAAAGAAAAGAAAUCGAAAAAAAAAAAGAAAAGAAAGAAAAGGGGGCUAGCAAAGUUGUUAAGAGCUAAAAUGUUUUGAGGUUGUAGAAAAAUCCCUUGUAGAUUUCAAAAAGGAAGAGUUAAAGUUCUUAAGAUCCUUUGGUGAGAGAUGUGAGUUGGGUUUGACAUUUGGGAAUGAUUGUGUA